RNAcentral lists this ribosomal RNA (655 nucleotides) under Bacillus sp. (in: firmicutes). RNAcentral describes it as "bacterial SSU rRNA". It matches the Rfam family "Bacterial small subunit ribosomal RNA", at positions 372 to 1016 of the family's 1533-position model. The record is from RNAcentral. Lineage: Bacteria; Bacillati; Bacillota; Bacilli; Caryophanales; Bacillaceae.
UGGACGAAAGUCUGACGGAGCAACGCCGCGUGAGUGAUGAAGGUUUUCGGAUCGUAAAGCUCUGUUGUUAGGGAAGAACAAGUGCCGUUCAAAUAGGGCGGCACCUUGACGGUACCUAACCAGAAAGCCACGGCUAACUACGUGCCAGCAGCCGCGGUAAUACGUAGGUGGCAAGCGUUGUCCGGAAUUAUUGGGCGUAAAGGGCUCGCAGGCGGUUUCUUAAGUCUGAUGUGAAAGCCCCCGGCUCAACCGGGGAGGGUCAUUGGAAACUGGGGAACUUGAGUGCAGAAGAGGAGAGUGGAAUUCCACGUGUAGCGGUGAAAUGCGUAGAGAUGUGGAGGAACACCAGUGGCGAAGGCGACUCUCUGGUCUGUAACUGACGCUGAGGAGCGAAAGCGUGGGGAGCGAACAGGAUUAGAUACCCUGGUAGUCCACGCCGUAAACGAUGAGUGCUAAGUGUUAGGGGGUUUCCGCCCCUUAGUGCUGCAGCUAACGCAUUAAGCACUCCGCCUGGGGAGUACGGUCGCAAGACUGAAACUCAAAGGAAUUGACGGGGGCCCGCACAAGCGGUGGGAGCAUGUGGGUUUAAUUCGAAGCACGCGAAGAACCUUUACCAGGUCUUGACAUCCUCUGACAUCCUAGAGAUAGGACGUCC